UGGGGAAUAUUGGACAAUGGACCAAGAGUCUGAUCCAGCAUUCUGUGUGCACGAUGACGUUUUUCGGAAUGUAAAGUGCUUUCAGUUGGGAAGAAAAAAAUGACGGUACCAACAGAAGAAGUGACGGCUAAAUACGUGCCAGCAGCCGCGGUAAUACGUAUGUCACGAGCGUUAUCCGGAUUUAUUGGGCGUAAAGCGCGUCUAGGUGGUUAUGUAAGUCUGAUGUGAAAAUGCAGGGCUCAACUCUGUAUUGCGUUGGAAACUGUGUAACUAGAGUACGGAGGGGUAAGCGGAACUACAAGUGUAGAGGUGAAAUUCGUAGAUAUUUGUAGGAAUGCCGAUGGGGAAGCCAGCUUACUGGACAGAUACUGACGCUGAAGCGCGAAAGCGUGGGUAGCAAACAGGAUUAGAUACCCUGGUAGUCCACGCCGUAAACGAUGAUUACUAGGUGUUGGGGGUCGAACCUCAGCGCCCAAGCAAACGCGAUAAGUAAUCCGCCUGGGGAGUACGUACGCAAGUAUG
RNAcentral lists this ribosomal RNA (522 nucleotides) under uncultured bacterium. RNAcentral describes it as "bacterial SSU rRNA". It matches the Rfam family "Bacterial small subunit ribosomal RNA", at positions 355 to 896 of the family's 1533-position model. The record is from RNAcentral.